GUGUCAGCAGCCGCGGUAAUACAGGGGGUGCAAACGUUGCUCGGAAUUAUUGGGCGUAAAGCGCGCGUAGGCGGCUACUUAAGUCGGAUGUGAAAGCCCUUGGCUCAACUGAGGAAGUGCACCCGAAACUGAGUGGCUUGAGUACUAAAGAGGGUCGCGGAAUUCCCGGUGUAGAGGUGAAAUUCGUAGAUAUCGGGAGGAACACCGGUGGCGAAGGCGGCGACCUGGGUAGAUACUGACGCUGAGGCGCGAAAGCGUGGGGAGCAAACAGGAUUAGAAACCCUUGUAGUCC
Molecule: ribosomal RNA, 292 nt
Filed under: uncultured bacterium
Lineage: Bacteria
Description: partial 16S ribosomal RNA
Rfam family: Bacterial small subunit ribosomal RNA
Source: RNAcentral